UCAAGACGUUAGGCACAUCAACUGGAUCAAAUGGUUCCUUAAAUCAGUGGUGACAUGAAUGUGUUUGACUUGGCACGCCUCUCUCAUCUCAAUUCAUCACCUCCCCAAGGACAUAUCCUCCUGCUGCCAAGACCUGUCAGGCAGGAGCAUCUCAGAGUAAAGGGCUGGGACUGGAGCGAGGACUUUGCUGGAAUUAGGGAAGCGUGACGAUGUCAAAAGGGGCAAGAAGAGCUCGUUUUAAAGUUGGCCUGUUUUUAG
Myripristis murdjan (pinecone soldierfish) is the source of this 258-nucleotide long non-coding RNA. RefSeq lists it as uncharacterized. The transcript has 3 exons. NCBI's taxonomy places the organism in Eukaryota, Metazoa, Chordata, Actinopteri, Holocentriformes, Holocentridae. The record is from RefSeq and is a predicted model, not a curated record.